Molecule: long non-coding RNA, 1745 nt
Filed under: Gallus gallus (chicken)
Lineage: Eukaryota; Metazoa; Chordata; Aves; Galliformes; Phasianidae
Description: lncRNA (ENSGALG00010020948.1)
Source: RNAcentral
GUUGGGGUAGGUCUUAACUUCUGACCUGAGCAAGGCUGCAGCAGGAAUGCUGAGUCACGGCUUGAAGCAGUGAUGGAGCACCUGGUGGGAAGGCAGGGCCAACCCAGGGGAGCUCAGCUGCAUGCAAUUAAAGGCACCUGAUUGACCAGAAGGGCUGGAGCCAGGAUCCACCCCUUCCCAGCCCUCAUUUAAAGGCUGGCACUCGAGGCAAGGGGAUAUUGCUGGAGCUCCCCUGUGUCCCUGAGGCCUUCUGAAGGUGCACGUGCCGGUCCGUGGGCUCCUCUCCGGGUGACAGCAUGAUGCACAGUCCUGUCUGCGUUCAGAGGGUGCGUCACGAUGCCUUCAACCAGCUUUCAGAGCAGCCUGAUGGAUGGAAGCGAGCAGGAGAUGAAGCUGGGACUGCCGGCGCUGGCUGCCCCGGGUGAUGCUGAUGGAUGGAGGCACUGAUGGUGGAGCACGUGGAACCUGUGUUACACCUCCGAGCACAUGGGAACAGACACGAGCCUGCAGGAACAGGAGUUGAGCAAAACUGCUUGAAACUUGGAGGAUUUGGGUUGCUCUGAUUGGAAACUGGGGUUGUAAGAGAUGCCCUGAGAUGCUCAGCCCAGUGCCCUGUAGUGACCCAAGGGAUGGAUGGCCAGGAGGUGGUGAACCCAUUUUAGGGCUGGAUAUCUGCAUUUUGGGCAUUGCAGGCCUGUUGCACAGCACCCUGUUGCUCCAGGCCUGGCACCUUUAGCCAUCCCCACCCACACCGUUUGGGUAAAUUAUCCCUUGAAUAAUGACAAAUCAAUUCAGUGCUGCUUCCAAGGAGAAUGAUCUGGCCUACCUUUCCCAGAAAGCAAUAAACCUGUAUGCUCUCGCUGCCAAAAAUCAGCUGCAGCAAUGCAGUCAAAGCAAGGAGUAAGUCAACCAUAGAGACAGCAAGUUAAUGAAUUAUCCUCUUCCAACUGGAGGCACUCAGAGGCAGCGCAAACGAAACAUACCCAGAACUGCUGUUGGUUUUAUUGGGCUAUUCUACCUCUUUGCCUCCUUUUUUCCUCGAGGUGGGGAGGCUCAGGGGUCUCCUCCACAUCUGCCUGUGGGCUCUGAGUGCUGCUGCUGCUUGGGUGGCACGUGGGCAUCUCUUAUGGAGUGGCACCGUUUGCGUUGGCAGCACUGAUGGGGCACUCCAUCAAGCAAUUAGGAACAAAAAAAUCCAGUCCAACUCGUUCCAAAACACAAAGGCGGCAGCCAGCAUAAAUUAAUGCGUGUAGUUCUUAAGUGUUUGCUAUGGGGCUGUUUUCUUCUGCCAUCCCAUGGGAGAUAAUUAAGAAAGAGGCUCUUUCUCCGUCACUGUUCGGUAUCAGGAUAUCUCGCCGUAUCCCCUUAACUCCAGAGAACCUCCUUGGAAGUGACAGAUGAUCAAUUUGCUGUAUUGAGAAGAGGAGGUUUCUUUCUUUUCCAUUUGAAGUUUAGGCAUUAUUAUUUCCCUGGGCGGAUUGAUUCAUAUUUGCUCGGUUUCAUUAGCUGAAAAGUGCAGUCUAUGACCAAAUUAGCAGCGAGCUCUCAGUGAUCAAGAAGGAUGGAGCAGUUUGUUCUUAUCAGUAAUUGAUCACGGAGCUAUUAAUGGAUGCAAAUGUAUUUGUUCACUCUGCUUUGAUAAAUAACGGCUAGCUGCUCCCUGUGAUAUGAUUUGUGCUCGCACUUCCUCUUUGCUGUGCAGUCCCCAGGCCAUGGGCUGAAGCAUCUGGCUAACAGGAGACGGA